This 268-nucleotide long non-coding RNA is filed under the name Mytilus galloprovincialis (Mediterranean mussel). Lineage: Eukaryota; Metazoa; Mollusca; Bivalvia; Mytilida; Mytilidae. The record is from RNAcentral.
GGCAGUUAUUUCAUGUCAAAACUGUAUCUUAUCCUGACUUGUACUGAAAGAAUCAACAUACCUUUAAUUGCAUAUUAGAGCGUACUGGUUCCCGGAAAGUUGAUAGUACAAAAACAGGAACUUCUGAUCUGAACAACAGGCCAAAUGUGCCCUCCUAUUAGAAUUUCCUAUACUUCUUUAUUAUUCAAGUAAAACUUUCAACAAGGGUUUUACAGUAAUCCCAAGUCCCCAAGCUUUCAUCUGAUACAAAAACUACCCAAAUAUUCCC